Molecule: long non-coding RNA, 519 nt
Filed under: Trifolium pratense (red clover)
Lineage: Eukaryota; Viridiplantae; Streptophyta; Magnoliopsida; Fabales; Fabaceae
Description: long non-coding RNA (TPRA_LNC011146)
Source: RNAcentral
AUGGCAUUGUUUCUCACUUUCAGAUAAUUACUUUUAAAUAUAGUUUUUGUUCUCAUAUACCCAAUAUAAUUUUUAGUUAUUUUUAAAUUUAGAGCAAUUGUUUUUCCUGCUCUGCUGCCCUGUGUUAAGUAAAGUGAGUUUAAUUCUAUCCUUGCCUUCAAUUUUAACCCAUGUUUUGUAGUUUGAUGAAAUAUUUCAUUUAUGUCUUAUCUUUGCAUUUCUUAUGUUGCUUAUUUUUUCAAAAUCAUAGAUUAAAAGUAUAGUGAUUUGAUAGUUUUGAUUUUAACCUUAUGUUUAACCCUCAAAAUUUAAGAUGUCAUACAUGCAACAACUUUUCUAUGCUACACUUUUAAGUGCUAGCUAUUUUUUCCAAGAUUAGAGCUUGAAUUUCCAAGAGAAUUAGACUAAUCUCAUAUUAAUGUUUUACAAUGUUAAGUGCUAAUUUUUGACACCUUCAUUGUCUAAGAUUGCAGGUUUGAGUUCAAAGGAUGGUAACUAAGAAUAUGAUGGAGCAAAAUU